CACGCCGUAAACGAUGAGUACUAGGUGUAGGGGGUAUCGACCCCCCCUGUGCCGCAGUAAACACAAUAAGUACUCCGCCUGGGAAGUACGAUCGCAAGAUUAAAACUCAAAGGAAUUGACGGGGGCCCGCACAAGCAGUGGAGCAUGUGGUUUAAUUCGACGCUACGCGAAGAACCUUACCAGGACUUGACAUGGAAUUUAAAACUCUAGAGAUAGAGCCAUAACAAGUUCACACAGGUGG
RNAcentral lists this ribosomal RNA (241 nucleotides) under uncultured bacterium. RNAcentral's name for it is "partial 16S ribosomal RNA". It matches the Rfam family "Bacterial small subunit ribosomal RNA", at positions 796 to 1041 of the family's 1533-position model. The record is from RNAcentral.